GAGUGAGGACAGUUCAGAAGAAGAGCUUAGCUUUGGAAAUUUUAACAAACUAGUGGCACACAUCUGAAUGUGUUUCCUGGGUAUUGCUUAGAAGGAAUGAAAUAGUGCUUCCUUGUUAAGUGAAGAAACUCAUGAAAAAGGCUGAAAAUGACCUCAAGAAACUGCCAGCUUACCAACAGAGUCAGAAAAAGAAGAAUACAAAGGUACAGCAAUACAGAAAUGAUUUUAACCAGCAUUCAACUAGCACAGCAAUAUGAACCUCAUACACUUUAAGGAAUUACAACAACAAGGAUUCCAAAUCCUUUAACAGUCUGGGUUCUCAGCAGCACCAACCAUUGCUACUGUUCCAAGUCACCCAGGGAAAGGAGAAAAUUACCGACUUUCAUAAACAGCAUACAUGUUUAAGAACUUUUGCAGUGUGUGAGUAAUAUGUUGCAGUCAUUCUGCUACUGCAUGCCAACUGUUUCAAAAUACAGCCUCUGUGUGCAUACUUAAUACUUCCCAAAUUUAUGUAAUGUGAAACUGGUCUACAAAUGUUGCAUAUGUGUAAUUAGAAUAAUAAUGUAUUGUUAUUGCUAUUAUUAUUAUGCAAGCUUCUCAUUUGCCAGUUUGCAUACAAUAGGUACUUUUUUUAAAAAUUAUAACCUCACCAAUUCACAUCCCUUGAUAUUUCUGCUAUUACAGUUCAUAAAGUCUGAG
Long non-coding RNA from Myiozetetes cayanensis, 699 nucleotides. RefSeq lists it as uncharacterized. The transcript is spliced from 4 exons. The record is from RefSeq and is a predicted model, not a curated record. Lineage: Eukaryota; Metazoa; Chordata; Aves; Passeriformes; Tyrannidae.